UACGGAGGGUGCAAACGUUGCUCGGAAUCAUUGGGCGUAAAGCGCACGUAGGCGGACCAUCAAGUCGGUUGUGAAAUCCCUCGGCUUAACCGAGGACGUGCAUUCGAAACUGAUGGCCUUGAGUACGAAAGAGGAUCGCGGAAUUCCCGGUGUAGAGGUGAAAUUCGUAGAUAUCGGGAGGAACACCAGUGGCGAAGGCGGCGAUCUGGGUCGAUACUGACGCUGAGGUGCGAAAGCGUGGGGAGCAAACAGGAUUAGAAACCCGGGUAGUCC
This 273-nucleotide ribosomal RNA is filed under the name uncultured bacterium. RNAcentral describes it as "partial 16S ribosomal RNA". It matches the Rfam family "Bacterial small subunit ribosomal RNA", at positions 524 to 796 of the family's 1533-position model. The record is from RNAcentral.